GAUGAACGCUGGCGGCGUGCCUAAUACAUGCAAGUCGAGCGAACAGACGAGGAGCUUGCUCCUCUGACGUUAGCGGCGGACGGGUGAGUAACACGUGGAUAACCUACCUAUAAGACUGGGAUAACUUCGGGAAACCGGAGCUAAUACCGGAUAACAUGUUGAACCGCAUGGUUCAACAGUGAAAGACGGUCUUGCUGUCACUUAUAGAUGGAUCCGCGCCGCAUUAGCUAGUUGGUAAGGUAACGGCUUACCAAGGCAACGAUGCGUAGCCGACCUGAGAGGGUGAUCGGCCACACUGGAACUGAGACACGGUCCAGACUCCUACGGGAGGCAGCAGUAGGGAAUCUUCCGCAAUGGGCGAAAGCCUGACGGAGCAACGCCGCGUGAGUGAAGAAGGUCUUCGGAUCGUAAAACUCUGUUAUUAGGAAAGAACAAAUGUGUAAGUAACUAUGCACGUCUUGACGGUACCUAAACAGAAAGCCACGGCUAACUACGUG
This 497-nucleotide ribosomal RNA is filed under the name uncultured bacterium. RNAcentral's name for it is "partial 16S ribosomal RNA". It matches the Rfam family "Bacterial small subunit ribosomal RNA", at positions 28 to 507 of the family's 1533-position model. The record is from RNAcentral.